Molecule: long non-coding RNA, 1134 nt
Organism: Perca flavescens (yellow perch)
Lineage: Eukaryota; Metazoa; Chordata; Actinopteri; Perciformes; Percidae
Exons: 3
Source: RefSeq, a predicted model, not a curated record
UCAUUAAUGGCUUUGAACACACCUGUGCUUUUCCUACUAUGACAUGACAAAAAGGGUCUAGGCUGUCUACCAAGCUCUGUUUGUAGCCUGAUACCGACAUUUCCUCAAGCUUAUUUAAGCUUUCUGUGUCAACUUUUGACCUACACUGAGUGCAUUACUUAAAACUAGAAGCACUGUGUUGUCUCUAAUCAGCUGAUUCUAUACCGCAGUCCCUGCUUUAAAGCGUUGUGGAGAGUUCGGCUUUGUGAGUUGCCCGCAUCAGUGAGCAUGGCAGGACACGGCUCUUUUUACGAGCCAAAAGGCCCAGCUGCCGAUGGAAGAAGUAUCCGCACCUCAUCCUGUGUCUCUGCUGCUUGGCCCCGGCUGCUGUCCAUGGUGCUGAAGACUUCCUCCCGUUCCCGAGAGCGACAGAGUUUACUGGAAAGCUGCGAUAACAUCCAGCUGUCGCUCCCGUUCAAGUUGUCGGCCAUCAGCAAAUACUGGUUGACGUUUGCCAUGCAACUGCGAAAACCAGUUUGAUAAUCAGAGAACUCGGAAGCAGCUGCAGUGCCUGAAAGCAAUGGAAAAACAUCGUAAGUCACUGCCUGUUCCAGCGGGGUCAGUGGUGCUGUAGCUGAGCAGAUGUGUGCGGCCCAUGCACCUCAACCCUCCAGCAGCGGCCCAGUCCUCACAGAUGUGGUAGCCCACUGCAAAGGACACAAUCGACUCCAUCAAUAGAGUUAACCUAGAUAAAAAAAUAUGUUGUAUGACAUAAACUGGACACUGAAAGAACUUGUUAAUAAAAAGUAGUUAUUUCUUUCCAUACCUCUUUUGUUAAUACAUGUGAUGCAUUACACCCACACGCUGGUGCACGGCAGCAGCGUUUGGCUCAAAUGAACAGUUACAAAGGGUUUAGCAAUAAAAUCAAAACAUUUAUAACACUGAGAUGAAACUGACUAAACACCACAAAAUGAUACAUGAUAAUAUAUGAAACUGCAUUUGUAUCUGCCCGACUGCAGCAUCAAAACAGGCAUCAGUGUACUGUUAUGUAAUUUGUCCUACUGUUCACUUUAAAGAGCCCCUAUUAUGUUUUUUUGGAUUCCCCAUCUUUUAGUGUGUUGUAUAGUUUUAUAUGUAUGUAAUAGCUGUAUGUAA